Molecule: long non-coding RNA, 763 nt
Filed under: Lupinus angustifolius (narrow-leaved blue lupine)
Lineage: Eukaryota; Viridiplantae; Streptophyta; Magnoliopsida; Fabales; Fabaceae
Description: long non-coding RNA (LANG_LNC001733)
Source: RNAcentral
AAGCAAGAAAAAAUGUGGAAUUAUAUAUUCUUUAGUAUAAGAUAAAAAUAAAAUAAAAAUGAAGGAAAUUAGGGCUUUCUUCCUCCCCCAUAUCAAAUAGAUAAUUAUCAGUGUUAUUGGGACCGGACCGGACGGUCCGACCGGUCCAACCGUUACUCGUUUGCAUAGACGACCCCGUACACCCAUAAAACCGGGAUGUCAUUCCAAGCCGUUUUGGCCCGUGGAAAAACCGGUCCAACCGGGUUAGACCGGAUAAAACCGGAAUAACCCGGUUGGUUAAACCGGCCAGCUGGAUGAAAUAAAAUAAAAAAUAGAAAUUAGGCCCUACACACUACAACCUUACCUUGCAAGUUGCAACAGUAAAAAAAAAAAGAGAACUCAAACCUAGCCGCUGCUAGCCGCCACCCUUCACCGUCAUGGUCUUCUUCUUCACCAUUGCCGUCUUCAUCCUACACCAUCGUCAUCUUCUUCAUGUCGCCGUCUUCUUCUUCACUGUCAUCAUCUUCACCCUUCACGUUGUUGUCUUCUUCCUUCACCUUAUGACUUUGCUAUCUUCUUCCUUCAUCAUCUGCAAGUUUUUCACCUUCUUCCUUCAUUGUUUUGAUUCACCUUUUGCAUCUCACUUUUAAUAGGAAACAGAAACAUUACUCUAGGUUCACGUUGCUGUUUAGGUUCAUGUUCUUCCUUCACUGUUUAGGUUCACAUUGUUGUUUAUCUUUUUGAUACUAAUACUUUGAACCAUUAGUUUAGGAAUUUAGGUGGU